CCUACGGGGGACUGCAGUGAGGAAUAUUGGUCAAUGGGCGCGAGCCUGAACCAGCCAAGUAGCGUGAAGGAUGACUGCCCUACGGGUUGUAAACUUCUUUUCUCAGGGACGAAGCCAGUGACGGUACCUGAGGAAUAAGCUACGGCUAACUACGUGCCAGCAGACGCGGUAAUACGGAGGUGGCAAGCGUUAUCCGGAUUUACUGGGUGUAAAGGGAGUGUAGGCGGGAAAGCAAGUCAGAUGUGAAAACCAUGGGCUCAACCUGUGGCCUGCAGUUGAAACUGUUUUUCUUGAGUACUGGAGAGGCAGACGGAAUUCCUAGUGUAGCGGUGAAAUGCGUAGAUAUUAGGAGGAACACCAGUGGCGAAGGCGGUCUGCUGGACAGCAACUGACGCUGAGGCGCGAAAGCGUGGGGAGCAAACAGGAUUAGAUACCCGGGUAGUC
Molecule: ribosomal RNA, 444 nt
Filed under: uncultured bacterium
Lineage: Bacteria
Description: partial 16S ribosomal RNA
Rfam family: Bacterial small subunit ribosomal RNA
Source: RNAcentral